This is a long non-coding RNA of Sorex fumeus (smoky shrew), 2448 nucleotides long. RefSeq lists it as uncharacterized. NCBI's taxonomy places the organism in Eukaryota, Metazoa, Chordata, Mammalia, Eulipotyphla, Soricidae. The record is from RefSeq and is a predicted model, not a curated record. The transcript is spliced from 2 exons.
UCUGUCACAAAAAAGCAGUGUCACCUAACUAAAAAGAUGUAAUAUUAUCAAUUAUGGCUGGAGCGAUAGCACAGUGGUAGGGCAUUUGCCUUGCACGCAGCCAACAUGGCCGACCCGAGUUCGAUUCCUCCGCCCCUCUCAGAGAGCCCGGCAAGCUACCGAGAGUAUCUCGCCUGCGCGGCAGAUCCUGGCAAGCUACCCGUGAUGUAUUCGAUAUGCCAAACACAGUAACAACAAAAUCUCCAAUGGAGACGUUACUGGGCCCACUCAAGCAAAUCGAUGAACAACGGGAGAGCCUUUACCUUUACCUUUUUAAUAUUAUCAAUAAAUGCUGUUACAUAGAAAGUAACAAGACUAGGAAAUAUUUUUGGAACUAAGUAAUAUUAAUGUAGGUAAAAAUAGAAUGGCAAUACCCAGUAUCAGUGAAAUAUGGGGGCCUAAAAUUAACAUAAAAUAACAUGAAUUUCUUAUAUAUAAACAAGUAUUUCCAUAAAAAUGAAAAAAGGUAUUUCAGAAAUGUGAAGGAAUUUCAACUUGAUACUUGUAUAUGCAGUAGAUCAAGUAUUUUUGUUGUUUGGGGACCACACUGUCAGUUGUUCAGAGAUUAAUCCUAUUUUGUUUAUUCUUGGUGAUGCUUAGGGGACCAUAUGCAGUGCUGGGAGGGUUGAACUAAGUCUUUUAUUUGAAUAUAGAGACCAGCCAAGGAAUUUGAAUGAGCGCUAAUAAAAACUAUGUAACAGGCCAGAGAGAUAGUACAGGAAGUACUUCAUUGCAAGUACCUUGCAAUACAGCCAAACUAGGUUUGAUCCCUGUAUAUUAUUCCUUUAGCGAAGCUGGAUGUGACCCCCUUGGAAAAAAUCAUAAAAUUUAAAAACAAACCCGAUGUAGAGCAUUAACAACUAACAACUUACUAAACUUAAGUAAGCAUUGAUCUUCUUUAAAACCUAGUAAUUAUUAGUAGAGCCAAGUAAGUUAUAUUGAAAACCGGAGUUAUUCUCACCUCAAAUCUAAAUGGUUUUCUUUAUUGUUGGCUUUCAUUGGGUGAGAAAGUCAUCUUCAAAACUGAACUAAGUUUCAGCUACAGAAUUCAAAAUAUUAAGCUUUUUUUGCAAUAAAGUUGAAUCUAAUAUGUUCUUUUCUUUUGGAUAUCAGUUGUGGGAAUAUAGAUUUAAUCUUGGAUGUUGGGGAAUUAGUUUAAAUUUUAGUCCUAAAUCAGUUAAUGAUACAGAGAAUUUAGCUAUGAGUUAUUUGUUUUUUUUUUUUACAUUUUGUGUUCAUUGUUGAAUAGUUGGCCAACCUUAUUCCUCUCUGCUGACAUUUGGGUAAUAUGGGCAUUUUGAGUGCUAGGUAAUUUUCAGAUACAUUUUUUUCUUUUUUAUUGAUUUAUCAUUGUUUUAUUAUGGAAAUUUGGAGAAGAUGCUUUUAAAGUGAAAAUACAAAGUAUAAACUGGUGAUUAUGAUAUGCUUACUUUGCUAAUAUUAUUAUGGUACAAAAGUGCUUUUGAUUUUUACCUACAUGUACUACCAUUUGCAAUUUUCUCAUUUUACUUCCUCUCCAUUUAAAAUCAUUCAAAGAGCAUCUUUCAGCUUCUCUUGGCUUAAAAGGCUUUUUCAUUAGCUUAAAACAAUGCAUUUCUCAGUGCUAGUUGAAUCCUAAGUGGGAAAAUAAUCUGAAAGUGCAUAGCAAUACCUGCUUAUAAAAGGGAUAAUUCACAUGAGCCACUCACAAAGAAAACCUUCUACCUUGGGCUGUGGCUGCUCCAUUAAUACUAACUACAUAAAGGACUUUCUUUUUAUGGUAAGUAGAAAGGAGUAAUACCCUUUUAUUGUGGGUUAUUUUUCCUAAACAACUUAUACUUUUUGUCUCCUAGAGAGCAUACCAUAUUCGUAUCAAAUGAGGAGAACAUUUAAAGUAUGAAUUACCUAUCUAAAAUUUAGGAAUGUUUGCUUGUUUUAAUGAUUUUUGUAUUAGAAUGGUGGAAAUUUUCUCCCUGAUAACCCAAAAAUUAUUUUUUAUUGAAUAACCAUGUGAAAAGAGUUUUUUUUGGACAUUGCUUAUUGAUGAACCUAUACGUUUGUUUUCUUGACCAGAACCUGCCAGUGCUCAGUGUUUACUUCUGACCCUAUGCUCAGGAAUCACUCUUGGCAAGCUGAGGGUAGGAUGGCGUGGGUACCUUAUAUGGUAUCUUGGAUUGAACCCUGAGUCAGCCAGUUGCAAGGCAAAUGCUUCACCCAUUGUAAUAUUGCUUCAACUCCUGGGCCAAUACUUUCUGAUACUGGAAAAAUAAUGGUUUCAGAGUUUUCAUUUCUGGCACAAGUAUUGUACAAAUUUCUUUCCUGUUGCUUGGCACUCCUUUUGAAAUGAGAUACUGGGGGUAUGCAACCCUUAAGUUAUGUGUGUCCCUUUGAUUGUUUUGUAAUUUCCUUUGUUAAUAAAACAAAACCUGG